GACGAACGCUGGCGGCGUGCCUAAUACAUGCAAGUAGAACGCACAGUUUAUACCGUAGCUUGCUACACCAUACACUGUGAGUUGCGAACGGGUGAGUAACGCGUAGGUAACCUGCCUGGUAGCGGGGGAUAACUAUUGGAAACGAUAGCUAAUACCGCAUAAUAUUGAUUAUUGCAUGAUAAUUGAUUGAAAGAUGCUAUUGCAUCACUACCAGAUGGACCUGCGUUGUAUUAGCUAGUAGGUGAGGUAACGGCUCACCUAGGCGACGAUACAUAGCCGACCUGAGAGGGUGAUCGGCCACACUGGGACUGAGACACGGCCCAGACUCCUACGGGAGGCAGCAGUAGGGAAUCUUCGGCAAUGGACGAAAGUCUGACCGAGCAACGCCGCGUGAGGGAAGAAGGGUGUCGGAUCGUAAAGCUCUGUUGUAAGAGAAGAACGGGUGUGAGAGUGGAAAGUUCACACUGUGACGGUAUCUUACCAGAAAGGGACGGCUAACUACGUG
RNAcentral lists this ribosomal RNA (505 nucleotides) under uncultured bacterium. RNAcentral's name for it is "partial 16S ribosomal RNA". It matches the Rfam family "Bacterial small subunit ribosomal RNA", at positions 28 to 507 of the family's 1533-position model. The record is from RNAcentral.